This 497-nucleotide ribosomal RNA is filed under the name uncultured bacterium. RNAcentral's name for it is "partial 16S ribosomal RNA". It matches the Rfam family "Bacterial small subunit ribosomal RNA", at positions 28 to 507 of the family's 1533-position model. The record is from RNAcentral.
GAUGAACGCUGGCGGCGUGCCUAAUACAUGCAAGUCGAGCGAACGGACGAGAAGCUUGCUUCUCUGAUGUUAGCGGCGGACGGGUGAGUAACACGUGGAUAACCUACCUAUAAGACUGGGAUAACUUCGGGAAACCGGAGCUAAUACCGGAUAAUAUUUUGAACCGCAUGGUUCAAAAGUGAAAGACGGUCUUGCUGUCCCUUAUAGAUGGAUCCGCGCUGCAUUAGCUAGUUGGUAAGGUAACGGCUUACCAAGGCAACGAUGCGUAGCCGACCUGAGGGGGUGAUCGGCCACACUGGAACUGAGACACGGUCCAGACUCCUACGGGAGGCAGCAGUAGGGAAUCUUCCGCAAUGGGCGAAAGCCUGACGGAGCAACGCCGCGUGAGUGAUGAAGGUCUUCGGAUCGUAAAACUCUGUUAUUAGGGAAGAACAUAUGUGUAAGUAACUGUGCACAUCUUGACGGUACCUAAUCAGAAAGCCACGGCUAACUACGUG